Molecule: long non-coding RNA, 668 nt
Organism: Lycium ferocissimum
Lineage: Eukaryota; Viridiplantae; Streptophyta; Magnoliopsida; Solanales; Solanaceae
Exons: 2
Source: RefSeq, a predicted model, not a curated record
UGUCGCUUAAUCAUCUAGGAGUAUAGAUUAUCACUUCCUAGGAUGAGAAUUUGAUUAUUAAAUGUUGAGAAUGAUGUAUUGAGACUUAGGGCUUCACAAAGAUGGUAACUUUAGCAUAAAAACUGCUUGUAAAAGGGUUGAAACGAUUAGAAAACCUAUGAAUGGAUAGAAUAUGAUUAUUGGGAUUAAUAAUAGCAUGAAUUCACGCUUAGUGAUAGUUCACCCAUUUGAAAAAGGGUAGAAGUAGUUGGGUUCUCUUCCCCAAUUGUUGUUUGUUGAGUAGAUGGUCCAUUACUCACUUAGCGUUAUCAUUGCUAGACUUUGAACGUUCUGAAGCUUUGCGAAAGGGGAAAGCUAUCGCGGAGUGAUUGCAUUGUCCCAGUUCUGCUUUGAGAUUGUGAUCCAGAGACGUCUACCAGACCUCAUAUAUAGCGUGAGGCCAGUUUUCUACAGAUUUGAGGGUGAGCUCCUAUCUAUGCCAGGCAGCCUGAAGAUAUUUCUCAUUUCGGAUGUCUAUUUGAUUUCAGACAUUUAUGUUUAUUUCAGACAGUUGUUCAUUCUUAGACAGUUAUAUUUUAGAGUCCUAGUACGAUGACUUUCGGAUUUUGGGGUUGUAAUAGUUAGACUUCCGCAUUCAUUAACUAUUUAUGGCAUGACUAGACAGUUUG